This 625-nucleotide ribosomal RNA is filed under the name Staphylococcus aureus. RNAcentral's name for it is "bacterial SSU rRNA". It matches the Rfam family "Bacterial small subunit ribosomal RNA", at positions 202 to 816 of the family's 1533-position model. Lineage: Bacteria; Bacillati; Bacillota; Bacilli; Caryophanales; Staphylococcaceae. The record is from RNAcentral.
AAAGACGGUCUUGCUGUCACUUAUAGAUGGAUCCGCGCUGCAUUAGCUAGUUGGUAAGGUAACGGCUUACCAAGGCAACGAUGCAUAGCCGACCUGAGAGGGUGAUCGGCCACACUGGAACUGAGACACGGUCCAGACUCCUACGGGAGGCAGCAGUAGGGAAUCUUCCGCAAUGGGCGAAAGCCUGACGGAGCAACGCCGCGUGAGUGAUGAAGGUCUUCGGAUCGUAAAACUCUGUUAUUAGGGAAGAACAUAUGUGUAAGUAACUGUGCACAUCUUGACGGUACCUAAUCAGAAAGCCACGGCUAACUACGUGCCAGCAGCCGCGGUAAUACGUAGGUGGCAAGCGUUAUCCGGAAUUAUUGGGCGUAAAGCGCGCGUAGGCGGUUUUUUAAGUCUGAUGUGAAAGCCCACGGCUCAACCGUGGAGGGUCAUUGGAAACUGGAAAACUUGAGUGCAGAAGAGGAAAGUGGAAUUCCAUGUGUAGCGGUGAAAUGCGCAGAGAUAUGGAGGAACACCAGUGGCGAAGGCGACUUUCUGGUCUGUAACUGACGCUGAUGUGCGAAAGCGUGGGGAUCAAACAGGAUUAGAUACCCUGGUAGUCCACGCCGUAAACGAUGAGUGC